CCCAUCGAAGCUGCAUGAGGAUAAAUUAAAGAAAAGGGUGAGACAUGCAAAUUUCUAGAGUGAAGCUAGAGAGGAACCAAGAAGUCUAGGAGAAGCGCCCUAAAAAAAGUUGUGCUUUGUCAAAGUGUUCAGGAAGGAAGCUUUGAGAUUGUUCAAUAGUGACCUUGACACUCUAGUGGGGAGUGGAAAAGAAACUAGAGAACACCAAUCGAUCCUAAUGGAGCUUCAUAUUCACAUCUUCCAACCUUAAGGAAGGAGGGAAGCUGUUGGAAGCAAUCUCUAUUUAUGAAGAAGCUUAUGGGCAAAAGGGACUCAUAGCCUCCAUUUGGCCUUUCCCCAACAAUGGAGAGAAGAUGUGUAAGUUAAAGCCUAGUAACAAAUUAUUAAGCAAAAU
Non-coding RNA from Nelumbo nucifera (sacred lotus), 394 nucleotides. Lineage: Eukaryota; Viridiplantae; Streptophyta; Magnoliopsida; Proteales; Nelumbonaceae. The record is from RefSeq and is a predicted model, not a curated record.